Molecule: ribosomal RNA, 506 nt
Filed under: uncultured bacterium
Lineage: Bacteria
Description: partial 16S ribosomal RNA
Rfam family: Bacterial small subunit ribosomal RNA
Source: RNAcentral
AUUGAACGCUGGCGGCAGGCCUAACACAUGCAAGUCGAACGGCAGCACAGAAGAGCUUGCUCUUUGGGUGGCGAGUGGCGGACGGGUGAGUAAUGUCUGGGAAACUGCCCGAUGGAGGGGGAUAACUACUGGAAACGGUAGCUAAUACCGCAUAACGUCGCAAGACCAAAGUGGGGGACCUUCGGGCCUCACACCAUCGGAUGUGCCCAGAUGGGAUUAGCUAGUAGGUGGGGUAAUGGCUCACCUAGGCGACGAUCCCUAGCUAGUCUGAGGGGAUGACCAGCCACACUGGAACUGAGACACGGUCCAGACUCAUACGGGAGGCAGCAGUGGGGAAUAUUGCACAAUGGGCGCAAGCCUGAUGCAGCCAUGCCGCGUGUAUGAAGAAGGCCUUCGGGUUGUAAAGUACUUUCAGCGGGGAGGAAGGCGGUGAGGUUAAUAACCUCGCCGAUUGACGUUACCCGCAGAAGAAGCACCGGCUAACUCCGUGCCAGCAGCCGCCGUAA